ACCCUACGGGACGCAGCAGUGGGGAAUAUUGCACAAUGGGGGAAACCCUGAUGCAGCGACGCCGCGUGAGUGAAGAAGUAUUUCUGUAUGUAAAGCUCUAUCAGCAGGGAAGAUAAUGACGGUACCUGACUAAGAAGCCCCGGCUAACUACGUGCCAGCAGCCGCGGUAAUACGUAGGGGGCAAGCGUUAUCCGGAUUUACUGGGUGUAAAGGGAGCGUAGACGGUGCAGCAAGUCUGAUGUGAAAGGUCGGGGCCCAACCCCGGGACUGCAUUGGGAACUGUUGAACUGGAGUACAGGAGAGGG
Molecule: ribosomal RNA, 305 nt
Filed under: uncultured bacterium
Lineage: Bacteria
Description: bacterial SSU rRNA
Rfam family: Bacterial small subunit ribosomal RNA
Source: RNAcentral